This 695-nucleotide ribosomal RNA is filed under the name uncultured bacterium. Its description in RNAcentral is "bacterial SSU rRNA". It matches the Rfam family "Bacterial small subunit ribosomal RNA", at positions 1 to 736 of the family's 1533-position model. The record is from RNAcentral.
UAGAGUUUGAUCAUGGCUCAGGAUGAACGCUGGCGGUAUGCCUAACACAUGCAAGUCGUACGAGAGUUUUUAACUCUAGUGGCGGACGGGUGAGUAACACGUGAGAAUUUGCCUUUAGGAGGGGGAUAACAAUUGGAAACGAAUGCUAAUACCCCAUAUGCUUUCGAGUGAAAUGGAUUUAUAUUUAUCCGCCUAGAGAGAAGCUCGCGGCUGAUUAGCUUGUUGGUAAGGUAAGAGCUUACCAAGGCGACGAUCAGUAUCUGGUUUGAGAGGACGAUCAGACACACUGGAACUGAGACACGGUCCAGACUCCUACGGGAGGCAGCAGUGGGGAAUUUUCCGCAAUGGGCGAAAGCCUGACGGAGCAAUACCGCGUGAGGGAAGACUGCCUAUGGGUUGUAAACCUCUUUUUUCAGGGAGGAAUCAAUGACGUGUACCUGAAGAAUAAGCAUCGGCUAACUCCGUGCCAGCAGCCGCGGUAAGACGGAGGAUGCAAGUGUUAUCCGGAAUCACUGGGCGUAAAGCGUCUGUAGGUGGUUUAAUAAGUCAACUGUUAAAUCUUGAGGCUCAACUUCAAAAUCGCAGUCGAAACUAUUAGACUAGAGUAUAGUAGAGGUAAAGGGAAUUUCCAGUGGAGCGGUGAAAUGCGUAGAUAUUGGAAAGAACACCGAUGGCGAAAGCACUUUACUGGGCUA